CCCUUAGAUGUUCUGGGCCGCACGCGCGCUACACUGACGAAUGCAACGAGCUUAUAACCUUGGCCGAAAGGUCUGGGUAAUCUCCAAAUUUCGUCGUGAUGGGGAUAGUUUAUUGCAAUUAUUAAUCUUCAACGAGGAAUGCCUAGUAAGCGCAAGUCAUCAGCUUGCGUUGAUUACGUCCCUGCCCUUUGUACACACCGCCCGUCGCUCCUACCGAUUGAAUGGUCCGGUGAAGCGCUCGGACCGCGGCCUCUUGACGGUUCGCUGUCGAUUGGCUGUGGGAAGUUCGUUAAACCUUAUCAUUUAGAGGAAGGAGAAGUCGUAACA
This 327-nucleotide ribosomal RNA is filed under the name uncultured eukaryote. Its description in RNAcentral is "partial 18S ribosomal RNA". It matches the Rfam family "Eukaryotic small subunit ribosomal RNA", at positions 1470 to 1796 of the family's 1831-position model. The record is from RNAcentral.